This 368-nucleotide ribosomal RNA is filed under the name uncultured organism. RNAcentral's name for it is "bacterial SSU rRNA". It matches the Rfam family "Bacterial small subunit ribosomal RNA", at positions 526 to 896 of the family's 1533-position model. The record is from RNAcentral.
CGGAGGGUGCAAGCGUUAUCCGGAUUCACUGGGUUUAAAGGGUGCGUAGGUGGGUUGGUAAGUCAGUGGUGAAAUCUCCAGGCUUAACUUGGAAACUGCCAUUGAUACUAUCAAUCUUGAAUACCGUGGAGGUCAGCGGAAUAUGUCAUGUAGCGGUGAAAUGCUUAGAUAUGACAUAGAACACCAAUUGCGAAGGCAGCUGGCUACACGAAUAUUGACACUGAUGCACGAAAGCGUGGGGAUCAAACAGGAUUAGAUACCCUGGUAGUCCACGCCCUAAACGAUGGAUACUCGACAUACGCGAUAUACUUUGUGUGUCUGAGCGAAAGCAUUAAGUAUCCCACCUGGGAAGUACGAUCGCAAGAUUG